RNAcentral lists this ribosomal RNA (470 nucleotides) under uncultured bacterium. RNAcentral's name for it is "partial 16S ribosomal RNA". It matches the Rfam family "Bacterial small subunit ribosomal RNA", at positions 28 to 507 of the family's 1533-position model. The record is from RNAcentral.
GACGAACGCUGGCGGCGUGCUUAACACAUGCAAGUCGAACGCUGAAGCACCAGCUUGCUGGUGUGGAUGAGUGGCGAACGGGUGAGUAAUACGUGAGUAACCUGCCCUUGACUCUGGGAUAAGCCCGGGAAACUGGGUCUAAUACUGGAUGCUACAUGUCACCGCAUGGUGGUGUGUGGAAAGGGUUUACUGGUCUUGGAUGGGCUCACGGCCUAUCAGCUUGUUGGUGAGGUAAUGGCUCACCAAGGCGACGACGGGUAGCCGGCCUGAGAGGGUGACCGGCCACACUGGGACUGAGACACGGCCCAGACUCCUACGGGAGGCAGCAGUGGGUAAUAUUGCACAAUGGGCGAAAGCCUGAUGCAGCGACGCCGCGUGAGGGAUGACGGCCUUCGGGUUGUAAACCUCUUUCAGCAGGGAAGAAGCCACAAGUGACGGUACCUGCAGAAGAAGCGCCGGCUAACUACGUG